AGGACGUGUUGCUUCCCCUUCCACUAUGAUUCUGCAUUUCUUGAGACCUCCCGAGCCAUGCAGAACUGGUCUCUUUCUGCCUCCCAAGCUGGAAUGCCAUGAUGCGAUCUUGACUCACUUCAGCCUCAGCCACCCGGGCUCAGGGCUCAGGUGAUCCUCCUACCUCAGACUCCUGAGCAGCUGGAACUACAGGAAUUGACUUGCUUUGGCCAAGAAAUGUGAGCAGAAGUGAUGAGAACCACUUUCAACCAAAGUUUUAAGAGUCAUCAUAUGAAGAUACUUGAGGCCUCCUUAAAUUAGUUGCAGUAACACAUGGAACAAGAGAUCCACAUUCUCCAACAAUAUAGAAACCAGAAUUCAGCAGCUCUGCAAGAAAUCUAGUCAACACAUUUAUUAUGAUGAUUUAUUAUUCACUGAGCACCAACUCAGUGCUUCUUAUAA
This 441-nucleotide long non-coding RNA is filed under the name Homo sapiens (human). RNAcentral describes it as "HSALNT0373628". Lineage: Eukaryota; Metazoa; Chordata; Mammalia; Primates; Hominidae. The record is from RNAcentral.